GACGAACGCUGGCGGCGUGCUUAACACAUGCAAGUCGAACGAAGUGGCGAACGGGUGAGUAACGCGUAAUCAACCUGCCCUUCAGAGGGGGACAACAGUUGGAAACGACUGCUAAUCCCGCAUACUGAAGGAGGGGAAUGCGUCUGAUUAGCUAGUUGGAGGGGUAACGGCCCACCAAGGCGAUGAUCAGUAGCCGGGCUGGGAGGAUGGAAGGCCACAUUGGGAAUUGGAAACGGCCCAGACUCCUACGGGAGGACGCAGUGGGGAAUCUUCCGCAAUGGACGAAAGUCUGACGGAGCAACGCCGCGUGAGUGAUGACGGCCUUCGGGUUGUAAAGCUCUGUUAAUCGGGACGCGGUACCGGAAUAGAAAGCCACGGCUAACUACGUGCCAGCAGCCGCGGUAAUAC
This 408-nucleotide ribosomal RNA is filed under the name uncultured bacterium. RNAcentral's name for it is "partial 16S ribosomal RNA". It matches the Rfam family "Bacterial small subunit ribosomal RNA", at positions 28 to 526 of the family's 1533-position model. The record is from RNAcentral.